This is a long non-coding RNA of Mustela erminea (ermine), 255 nucleotides long. RefSeq lists it as uncharacterized. The record is from RefSeq and is a predicted model, not a curated record. The transcript is spliced from 3 exons. Lineage: Eukaryota; Metazoa; Chordata; Mammalia; Carnivora; Mustelidae.
CCUGAGCCGAAGGCAGUUCCUUAACCCACUGAGCCCCCCAGUAUUUUUUCACUGAAAAUGCAGAGAUAACAGCUAUUUUGUUAUACCAUACUGAGGAUCCGAAUACAGUUUAUUCAAAGUGCCUAACAUAAGGAGAGAGAGAAAAUCUGAAGCAUGCUCCAUGACCAUCAUAGAGCCGGACACAGAACCCAAUCCCACAACCCCGAGAUCACGACCUGAACCAGAAUGGAGUUGGACGCUUAACUGACUCAGCUA